AGUCAUUCGGAUGCCGGCACCGCGUUCUUUUUAGCCCGCAACGGGGAUCUCCGGUAAGGGUUGGCGCGUGUACAUUUUUCGCGGUGUAGUGUGGGAAGCGAGUUCCGUUAAAAAGAAUCCGCCGUAUUAUAAAUUCUGGCUUCUUCGUUAACUGUUUUGUGUCGGUUUCGAUAAUAAAACGCACGGAAUAACAUUGCGGCGGUAUCA
Molecule: non-coding RNA, 207 nt
Organism: Cinara cedri
Lineage: Eukaryota; Metazoa; Arthropoda; Insecta; Hemiptera; Aphididae
Source: the annotation of a GenBank genome assembly